Mesocricetus auratus (golden hamster) is the source of this 1174-nucleotide long non-coding RNA. RefSeq lists it as uncharacterized. The transcript is spliced from 2 exons. Lineage: Eukaryota; Metazoa; Chordata; Mammalia; Rodentia; Cricetidae. The record is from RefSeq and is a predicted model, not a curated record.
AUGGAAACACUCAGCAAAUAUUUGAAAGGAAUGCCCAGAGUGUACAGUACCACAGAGGAAAUGAACACGGCCGGUGGGCGAGGAGCCAUGGCAACAAACAAACACCACAGCCUCCUCAGGCGGGCCCUUGGUGGUGAAGCACCCAGGAUGACUCACGUCUCCUGUGCCCUUUCUUCCCUGAUCUGUGCCACCCUCCGUCUGCUCUUCUCUCUUCUGGGGCAUUCUCGCCCAUCAAGACCUGCCGUGGAGACUCUACCUUCCCCGGGGGAUGCUACAGUGUCAUCUGAAAGAGACUUAAGUGGCCAGGCACCCAGAGGCCUACAGGAAAUACACAGAGAUCUCUAAAACUACCAGCCGAAGUCAGUCUUUUCCCCUUUAAGUGGCUGCUCCAGCUGUUCUGUGGUGAAAAUCUAACUCAUGAAGGAAUUCCUCAAUUCCAGUUGUUUGCUUUCUCACGGACCUGGUCAGGGUUAACUGAAGUAAGUAAGGUCACACUGUGGCUCGGGUGAGGUGGCUGGGGUCCCCUUUUCCUGCUGUGUCUCUUAUCUGCACCAAGCAGCUGCCAGGACAUUCUCCUCAGAAUCUUCCUGAAGCAAACUGGAGGCAUGGUGCGGUCUUUAAGACCCCAGAAACAACCCCCUGAGCAAAAGGGAGGGAGGACCCUCUAGAAAAGAAAACAUUAAUCACACAUUUUAUUUACAAAGGCAACAUGACAACAGCAUUAGGUAAUGUUUAAUAACCGCUUUAUUGCCGUGUAAUUUACCACCAUAAAAUUCACCCUUCUACAGAGGACAACUCAGUGGAUGUACUCACUGGGUCCUGCAAUCAUCUCCAUCAAACUCAGAGCAUCUUCCUGCUUCCCCAAGAAGAGUACCCAGCAGCAGCCAUUUCUACCCACCCCCAACUCUCCCCCUCCCCCUUUUUUCCUGCUUCAAGCAAUUACAAAGUUACUUUCUGUCUCUUGAUUGUAUAAACAAAAUGAUAGUCUACCUGUAUUUUGGGUUUAGCUCCCUUUCUAUCGUAGAAUAUUUUCAGAGUUUAUCUAGGUGGUAGCAUGGACUAAUGCUUAGCCCUUUUAAUGGCUGAAUUAUAUUCUACUGUAGGCAACUAAUAGUUUGUUCAUUCGUAUGUCAACUGAUGGACUUUUUGGCUAUUACAAAUAACACUGAUUUAA